RNAcentral lists this transfer RNA (74 nucleotides) under Rhizobium sp. 11515TR. RNAcentral describes it as "tRNA-Ala". It matches the Rfam family "tRNA". From Rfam's summary of the family: Transfer RNA (tRNA) molecules are approximately 80 nucleotides in length. Their secondary structure includes four short double-helical elements and three loops (D, anti-codon, and T loops). Further hydrogen bonds mediate the characteristic L-shaped molecular structure. tRNAs have two regions of fundamental functional importance: the anti-codon, which is responsible for specific mRNA codon recognition, and the 3' end, to which the tRNAs corresponding amino acid is attached (by aminoacyl-tRNA synthetases). tRNAs cope with the degeneracy of the genetic code in two manners: having more than one tRNA (with a specific anti-codon) for a particular amino acid; and 'wobble' base-pairing, i.e. permitting non-standard base-pairing at the 3rd anti-codon position. Lineage: Bacteria; Pseudomonadati; Pseudomonadota; Alphaproteobacteria; Hyphomicrobiales; Rhizobiaceae. The record is from RNAcentral.
GCUUCUGGCGCUGGAAGGGUAAAGCACUCCCUUGGCAAGGGAGAAGCCGAGAGUUCAAAUCUCCAGCGGCACCA